GAGUUUGAUUAUGGCUCAGGAUGAACGCUGGCGGCGUGCCUAACACAUGCAAGUCGAACGAAGCACUGCGGAUGGAGAUUCGUCAAAAUCUGCUUUGACUUAGUGGCGGACGGGUGAGUAAUGUGUGAGCAACCUGCCUUUCAGAGGGGGACAACAGUUGGAAACGACUGCUAAUACCGCAUAAUGUAUUGGGAGGGCAUCCUUUUGAUACCAAAGGAGCAAUCCGCUGAAAGAUGGGCUCACAUCUGAUUAGCUAGUUGGUGGGGUAACGGCCUACCAAGGCUGCGAUCAGUAGCCGGACUGAGAGGUUGAACGGCCACAUUGGGACUGAGAUACGGCCCAGACUCCUACGGGAGGCAGCAGUGGGGAAUAUUGGGCAAUGGGCGAAAGCCCUGACCCAGCAACGCCGCGUGAAGGAAGAAGGUCUUCGGAUUGUAAACUUCUUUUAUGAGGGACGAAGGACGUGACGGUACCUCAUGAAUAAGCCACGGCUAACUACGUGCCAGCAGCCGC
Molecule: ribosomal RNA, 513 nt
Filed under: uncultured bacterium
Lineage: Bacteria
Description: bacterial SSU rRNA
Rfam family: Bacterial small subunit ribosomal RNA
Source: RNAcentral